Molecule: long non-coding RNA, 305 nt
Organism: Rhinichthys klamathensis goyatoka
Lineage: Eukaryota; Metazoa; Chordata; Actinopteri; Cypriniformes; Leuciscidae
Exons: 3
Source: RefSeq, a predicted model, not a curated record
UAAACCUGGUGGAGAGCAUAUAAUAAAUGAAUACAACCGAUUUAAGACUUUGGGAGAUGAAACGAGGAGGAAAAUGGUGAACAUCCUGGCAGCUGACAUGACAGAAAAGAAUGGUACAUCACCACCAAGGCAGGUUAAAGAAAAAUAUGCCAGAGGAAUUGUCUCUUUGUUCCCUUACCUCAGUGACCCCUUGUCCAAAAAAGGCUAUGAGCAUUACUAUGAUGGUGAGAGUGGCACUGGGUACUUGGCAUGGAGAAUCAAAACUAUACAAAGAGGCCUGGCUAAAGAACGAAGAGCAUCAUUUG